CCACCUCAAUUGACAGCUAGUAACAUGUUACCAUGCCCUAUCUGAACUGGUUAGUCAAUACCUUUUGGUGGAGCUCUGCAAACAUUUUUCUCCGUUGUGGUGAAUGAUUUAUUUCAUUGUUAAUGACCAAUGCUUUAUCUCUGUGGCAUGACGUGAUUGCCCUACCAGGGCUUCUCCCCUGGGGAACCCUUUUCCAGGGAUAAGAAUGUGACUUCUAUGCUUACAGUGACUGGCUUUGAUCUGUGGCUGUCUGUGCUGGCCCUAGGCAUUGUCUGUACCGUCUAUACAGCUCUGGGUGGGCUGAAGGCCGUCAUCUGGACAGAUGUGUUCCAGACACUGGUCAUGUUCCUCGGGCAGCUGGCAGUUAUCAUCGUGGGGUCAGCCAAGGUGGGCGGCUUGGGGCGUGUGUGGGCCGUGGCUUCCCAGCACGGCCGCAUCUCUGGGUUUGAGUAAGUAUACCCCUACUCCUGGCUGGGGUCUGCAGUGCCUGGGCGCUGAGCCCAUCCUAGAGGCUGGUCUCGGCUAUAGUAAGCAGAAGGUAAACUGGGAAGCCUGAGGUGUAACAGCAGACAGUGGGAAACUGGUCCUGCAGAGAUGGAGGGUGAUUACAGGUGCCCGGCUAGUGUUUAUAGAGAGUCAGGACAUUACCUGGGAUGAGUACCUG
RNAcentral lists this small RNA (664 nucleotides) under Pan troglodytes (chimpanzee). RNAcentral describes it as "retained intron". The record is from RNAcentral. Lineage: Eukaryota; Metazoa; Chordata; Mammalia; Primates; Hominidae.